Trichonephila clavata is the source of this 73-nucleotide non-coding RNA. NCBI's taxonomy places the organism in Eukaryota, Metazoa, Arthropoda, Arachnida, Araneae, Nephilidae. The record is from the annotation of a GenBank genome assembly.
GCCCCUGUAGCACAAUGGAUAGAGUGUUGGACUUCUAAUCCAAAGGUCCUGGGUUCGAAUCCUACCUGGGAUG